Molecule: transfer-messenger RNA, 319 nt
Filed under: Sphingobium sp.
Lineage: Bacteria; Pseudomonadati; Pseudomonadota; Alphaproteobacteria; Sphingomonadales; Sphingobiaceae
Rfam family: Alphaproteobacteria transfer-messenger RNA
About the family: Bacterial tmRNA, also known as 10Sa RNA or SsrA, is named for its dual tRNA and mRNA-like properties. Its role is to liberate the mRNA from a stalled ribosome. To accomplish this part of the tmRNA is used as a reading frame that ends in a translation stop signal.
Source: RNAcentral
CGGCUUGAUAAAUCGCGCGGCCGCCGCCAUAUAGGGGGUGCCGGGCUCGCCCGGCUAUGGUGAUAAAUCGUGUCGUAUAAUAGACGCAGCGGACCCGGGGGCAGUACCCGGCGGUUCCACCACAUGUCCCGGAUGGCCUUUGGUCUGGCGGGGUGUCUGAUGGGGCCGAACUAGGAUCGACGUGUGUUCAAAGGCGAUGCUUUUACCCGGCCCGUGUAAGCCGUUAACAUUACUCUAAAAUAGCGCGGUUGAACCCACCGGGCAACAGAAGGGAAUUCAGCGGCCCCCGGAGGCGCCGGGCAACAGAAGCCUCCGGACC